Molecule: small nuclear RNA, 305 nt
Filed under: Myotis lucifugus (little brown bat)
Lineage: Eukaryota; Metazoa; Chordata; Mammalia; Chiroptera; Vespertilionidae
Description: 7SK RNA
Rfam family: 7SK RNA
About the family: 7SK was discovered as an abundant small nuclear RNA in the mid-70s but a possible function has only recently been suggested. Two independent studies have found that 7SK RNA binds the CDK9/cyclin T complex (known as elongation factor P-TEFb).
Source: Rfam by way of RNAcentral
GGAUGUGAGGGCGAUCUGGCUGCGAUAUCUGUCACCCCAUUGAUCGCCAGGGUUGAUUCGGCUGAUCUGGCUGGCUAGGCGGGUGUCCCCCUCCUCCCUCACCGAUCCAUGUUUGUCCCUCCCGAAGCUGCGCGCUCGGGUCGACGAGGACGACCUUCCCCCCCAGGAAAGGACCGGUCUUCGGUCAAGGGUAUACGAUUAGCUGCGCUCCCCUGCUAGAACCUCCAAACAAGCUCUCAAAGUGUCAUAUAUACAUAGUGUGCCUCACUGUUUUCAGAAUUUUUCAUGCUUAUGCAAUUCCCCAU